Drosophila obscura is the source of this 968-nucleotide long non-coding RNA. RefSeq lists it as uncharacterized. The transcript has 2 exons. The record is from RefSeq and is a predicted model, not a curated record. Lineage: Eukaryota; Metazoa; Arthropoda; Insecta; Diptera; Drosophilidae.
AUGAAAACAAAAAGCAGAAAACAACAAAAAAAAUGAAACAAAUUAAAAUAAAAAUUUUAUUUAGAUUAAAUCAUUGCUCAGGCUCAUUGCAUAGGUUCAAAGGUGGGAUUCUUUAGGUAUUUAUGAUGGCCACUGGUCCUAGCUCCGAGCGCAAAAAUAUUCUCUAUUUACAGGGCAUUUGGUUUAUUGGAGAAGACAGCCAGACAGCCAAAGAGAGCUUGGAGACACGAUACAAAAUCGUGUACCAUUGAAAUUUAUAGGCGUUAAUAUUGUAUUUGGCCAGACAUAUUUCAGAAAAUUUUUAAGGGUAUAACUAUACCGUCAGCUAAUGAAGUCGAUCUUACGUAUCUUUAUGUUGCGCUUUUCUUUCAUUCGCUUACUUACGGGCUAACAGCAGCAUCUAGCUGCACUCGCGUUCUUUUCCCUCUCUCAAUUUAUUGCCAACGUCUUAAGCUUCGCUUUGACCUUCGCCAUUGGUCGUGAAUUAGUAUUCAACAGACAUCGAUUCGAGUCAUCAACCCUAGUCUUCAACUGCCCUGAAUCGAUCUGACCCUUGAACGAUUCGUCGCGGACUCAGACUUGAACAUCUAAAUAACCUCGGAUAUUUCUCUAUCGCUUGUCGGCUCCUGUACUGCGCUUCAUGCUAUGUAACAAACUUAAACUAACUGGACUUAAUAUUUAAACAUUCCGCAACAGAAAGCAUACUAUCUUAAUAGACAUCGUUGGUAGCAGAUAGGUACAAGAUAAUGUGGUUUAUGUUGCGCGAACUACGUGAAGCCAUUUAUCAGACGGCUGAAUGAAUUGUUGCCAGGCCCCAAAGAAUGCGCAGAGGCCCAGAUUCAAGGUAAAAUGUGGAGCCCAUUGCGGAUGCGAUAAGGAUAGCACAUCAUGUACAGUGUGUGCGUAGGGGCAUGAGCCGCGAUAGCCGGGUAUCUGACGUCAUAAAUAAACGAAGCCUUAUCAGUUGG